UUUUAUACAUCAUACAUACCAUGUAUAAAGACAUAUAACAUAUAUAAAAUAUUCAAUCAUGACAUAACAUCAUCACCAUCAUAGUAAAUUGUCACUUGAGCGAAAUGCAACAAAAAUGCAACACCCUCUCAGGGCUCUUCUCGCUUGAGGGACCACCUCAUCGCUCAAGCGUUAGUCACUUAAGUAACAUCCACUAUUAAGUUUUAGAGAAUCCUUCCACUACUUUUGGUAGCUUGAGCACCCAAGAGCUUGAGUGCUCAACCUAGCAUUGGAGCACCCAAUGAUCGUGCUAAGCACUAAUAUGUCCAUGACACGUAUGCACCACCUCAGCCACGGUUAAGUAUCCACCACAAUCCUCAAGCCAAAAAGCUUAAGUUCCUUCUCCAACACUUGAGUGAUUGAUAGUUGUCAUUUUGAUGUCAAAUUAAAAUGGUUCCAGCGUAGACUUGUCUAACGCUAAAGAGAUGAUAGUAUACAAGUGAUUAGAUGACCUCAAGUUGUCUCUCAACGAAUUCAAUAAUAAAAUCAGUAAAUCAAUGUUUAGAAUCUAUCUGCAAGCAAUAAAAUUUAGCAAUAACAAUAUAAAGAUAAAAAGAGGAUUGAGAUAGUUGUGCAAAAAAUAUAAAACAAAUUAAAAUAGCAAUUAAAAUGCGGUUGAUCAUCAAGUUCUUCCACCAUUAAAAUUCUUCAUAGAUUCUCUAAAGAUUAAUCAUUUCUCAAUCCUCCAACAAAGCUAAACCAAAUUGAACUUGCGUCAGUCUAAUUCAACUGAAACUCACCAGUAAAACAUGAGUCUACUGGUUUAAUCAAUACUCACUUUGUUCCAUGCGUAUACUCCAUGGAAAUGCUUAUCUCAUCUCUCUUGAAUCAUGCGCCCAAGAAAUUAAUUAGAACAAUGCGAACUAACUAAGAAACUAAAAUUUAAGAUAAGGAAGACUCUCAAUGAUGCAUUCAAGUACAACCUCUCACAAAAAUCAGUUUUCCAUGAGAUUAGAAUAUUAAAACAACUACUAUAAAAAAAUAAAAAUUGAAACUUUUAUUGAAAAAAAAUCUCAAAACUCAAUGGGAAAUUACAAAGGAAUCAACCAAAAAGGUUUAGCCUUCCAUGUGGAGGCAAAACAAAAGAAUUACAAGAAAAAAAGAAACUAAGAAAACCCUAUGAAACUCCCUCCUUUCUCCUUGAUGCUUGUGUCCUUUUAUAGGCCUUUAUGCUCCAGGGAUCUUGGAAAAAUAUUGUAGUCUAGAUUUUGUUAACAAUUUCAAAGUUUUUGACUUUUCAGAAUUCUUGUAUUUUGCAGAAGAUUUGCUUCCAAUUCUGUUUCUGAGAUAUUGUAGCUUUUAUUUUCUCUUUCUUCUCCUCAAAAUUUGUUUUCUGUUUUGAUUAAAAAAGCAACUUUGACUUUUGCAUAUUUGGCCCAUUCACUAAGGUAGACACUUCUUUCAGACCAUUUACUCUAAAAACACAAAAUUAACAAAAAUAAUAGUUAAAGCCCAAAUAAACUCAAUUAUAUGAAUAUUAAUUAAAAAAAUUUAUUUAUUUAUUAUUAUAGUUCAAUAAUCCAUGAUUAAAGCUAUUGAGUGUGAAUAAAUAUAUGCUCAUCAAUGAUAUACUUGAGAAUUGACUCAACAUCUAUGUCACUUGAACAAUAAGCCACAACUUGAACUAUAUAACAUGUCACUUGGACAACCAACACAUUUCUUAAGUGAUAUAAGACAAUAAGUGUAAUGAUUACAUCACUUAGGUCUCUCUUGAGUGUCAAGUGACCGUAAAGCAACCCCAAAGGGCUCAAACAAAGGAUAUUCUCAAAGAUUUCCAAAUUGUAUGUGGAUUCUUACCAUCCCAUGUCCAUCAAAGAGUUAUUUUAAGACUUAUAUCCAACAAUGUAUCAUCACAACAACUCUACAACUCUUCUAACAUGCAUAUAUUUUACAUAAUAUCAACCUCCAUGCAUUACAUACAACUAACAACUAUCAUAUUGUAAAAAAUUGACAUAAUAACUCCCCUUGUCUAGAUUGAAGUAUGCUCUCAUAACAACCAAUACUUGAUCAUUUUUCCUAAGACUCUAAUGAAUCUAGAGAAGUUCUCAAAACAUCAUUUUAUAUGAGCAAACAUUUCCUCUAAAUCAUUCAUACAAGUAAAGAAGAAGAGAAGAAAAAAAGAGAAGACAAAAAGAUAAGAAAACUCAUAUAUGAUUGAGGUUACUUACCAAGACUAACUUCUCAUCAAUCCAAAACAAUUAGUACCUUACUAACUCCACAAAACCUCAAUCUAGUAAAGAAUCUAUAAUUAAAAACUCACUUAUAUCUGUCGAAAAUGACAACUUUUACCAUAGCCGUUGUUUUAUAUCUUUCAAAAGGGUCUAAAGUGGUGGCUUUUACCAUAGCCGUUGUUUUAUAUCUCUCAAGAGGGUCUAAAACAACGCCUUUUUACCAUAACUGACAAUUUAUAUCUUUCAGGAGGGUUUAAAACAACGAAUAUUUACCAUAAUUGCCAUUUUAUAUCUUUUAUGAGGGUCUAAAAUGAUGAAUUUUACCAUAACUGCCAUUUUAGACUGAAUAUAACACGACAAUUAUAUAGUCGUAGUUUUUGCUUGAAGAAAAUAGACUACACGUUGAAAGACAGCGGUUCAAAAACUGUUGUUUUAAUGCUAAAAUGACUGUUGUGAUUUAGCUUUUUCUGUUGUCUUUGCUUAAAGAGAAUACACUAUCUUUGCUUGAAGAGAAUAAAUUACAUGCUAAAAGACAACAUUCCAAGAACCGUUGUUUUAAUUCUAAAAUGACCAUCGUGAUUUAGCUUUUCUGGACCAGUGAUGGUAAACUUUCUUUUUAGAGUGAUGGUGAUAAACAUCUAUCGAUUUGAAAUUGAAAGAGUUAGAAAGUAAGAAAAAAAACAUGAUAAAAAUAUUAAAUAAUAUCAUAGAAAUAAAAAUGGAAGAGAAAUGUAAAUAAAUUUAAAUAAAAAUUAGAUGUGAGAGUAAGUUAGUUUAUAUUGAUUUGUUUAGCGAUUUAAUAAUUGAAAAAGUCAAAUAAAAAAGAGUAAAUUAUAGUAAUAUUUGCUAAUAAUGUAAUUAGACCCAUGUUUGUUUUUUUUCUAUGCUAUACUUUAACUUAUAAUAAUCCUUUCCAUUAUUAUAAACUUUUUUAAAAUUACAUAACUUUUUUAAAAUUAUGCACUAAUAAUAGGCAUGGUCAUAAUAUUUUGUUAAUAUUUAUCUUAAUAUAUAGAUACACACACAUAAACAUUAUUCUAAUUGCAAUUGUAUCCUUAUUUAAUUGUAUAAUUUAAGUAUUAUAUAAUAUUAUGUUAACAUGUGAGAUUGAAUCUGUUUUAUAUGUUGUUACGUGUGGAUUAUUAGGAUGAUAAAAAAAUAUAAAAAGAGUAAACUGCAUGAUGUUAUUAUUUUGGAAAACUUUUCUUUUAACACUCGAAACAAAAAACAAACACUUAACAGCUCUUUUUAAUAAUAUAAUAAUAUUUUAAAUAAAAAAUAAAAUAAAAAUAUAAAAAUAUUAAUUUAUUAGAAUGUUAGGUGUAUGUAUUUAGUAUAGAUUCUUUUAAUAAUAUAAUAAUAUUUUAAAUUAAAAAAUAAAGUAAAAAUGGUUAAAAUAUGAACAUUAUUAGCAGCAAAGAACAGUGAAUAUAAGUGUUUUACUGUGACAGUGAAGGUGGAGUUUGGAGUCUAGAGGUUGUUGAGGACGAUGUUGGCGAGAUUCAAACCUUCACAUGUGGUGUCAUCAUCAGAGAUCUUGGAAGAAAAAGACCAAGAGAACCCUGAGGUGGCAGAGAACCCAACGCUCACCCACUCCGGAAGAAGGCUCUCGAGCUCCACUCUCUGAGAGACGAUGUAGUUCGUUGGCUGAGAAGGGUAAACCAGAGAAGCCACCAAGAGCUUCGUGGAGGACUCAUAGGUGAUCUGAACCUCCGCGUUUUCUCCGUUGACCAAUUCCCACGGCGUCGUUUUCAUAGACUCGAUGGAGUUCACGUCGAUGCCAAUAUGACGGCCUUCGGGGUCCCACUCCUGGUUGACGAAGGUGUCGAACUCCACAGCCACAGUAUGGGCUUUGCUGUUGUAUUUGUCGCUGUCGAAAAGACCUAGAAAACCGCCUUGCUUUGUUGGGAACGAGAGCAAAGCCAAGGCCAUCGGCGGCUUUUGCUUUGUUGGGAGCGUGGAUAUUGAAUUUGAAGUUUGUGGUGAAGCUGGCGACUUUUCCGGUGGCGCUGUCUUAGAUUUGGAUGGGGGCGGAGUAGAAGGCGCGGCCCAGAGAGGCCACCGUGGGUUCUCCGUUGCUAUUAACAUUGGUUAGUCGUAACUGGCCGGAGGAUGAGACGGAGGCAUCGCCUUGGAGGAUAAGGUUGGUUUCGUUGAACCUAUCGAAGCUGAAGGAGGUUUCGCUGGCUGAGUUUGCGUGGCUGAGAAGCACAAGGAAGAGGCUAGGUUGAGUAAGUUGGAGGAAGCCAUGUAUGCAUUCAUGCAUUAACCAUCACUCUCUUCUCUAUUUAUACAACAACAAAUGCAAAAUCUUUCCAACUUUUUUAUUUCAUUCUAUUAUUAAAUACGUGUUUUCGAAUGAUUAACUUUUUUCUUUUAUAAUAUUAUUUGAGAGAGAAAUAAGAAUAUUAAAAUAAGAAUUAAGCAACGAUUGAUUUUACAACGAUUCAACGUUUUGCUACGAUUCUUAAUUACAAUGUGUCGAUAACUCUUUUUAAGUAUUUGGGUAUGCUGGUAGGGGGUGUCAUUGGAGAGGUGCUUUUUGAGCGGACAAAAAUUCCAAAAAUCCACCAUUUAUUAUUAAUCUUUUUUAUUAUUUAGGUAUUUUUCAGGUAUUUUAAGGUUUUAGUUCUCACAGUUACCCUAAUUAGAAAAUUCUAAUUUUUUUUUCAUGAUUUUUUAGUUAUAAAUUAGUGAUAUAUCAAAACCCUAUAAAUUAGUGAUAAUUCAUAUUUUUCGUGAAGGGAAUGCGUGUGCUAAUAAGUUGGCUAAUUUAGGAUUUAUUCAUAGAGAAUCAUUUCAUUGGUAUAAUAGACUCCCAGCUAGUCUGUUCUUAGAAUUCUUUAUGAAUAGGUAUAAUCUACCUAUUUAUCGUUUUUGUUAACAUAUGGGUUUUGGUCUAGUCCCGUCAUAUUUUUGUAUUUUCUUUCUUUUUUCUUUUUUUUUAAUAAUAUUUUUUUUAUGUGAUGACAAAUGAUUGUUGUUACUUGAGGUGUCAGCUUAGCUGAGAUGUCAAGUUGCAUAGUGAUGCCUAACACGAAAACUUUAUAUAAAAAAAAACCCUAUGGACAUAUAUAUGUCAGAUUUGUUAGAAUUUGCAUAUGGAGAUCAUUGUAAGAGCAUGACUGGAAGCAAAUAAUAAUAUUUAACUUAUUCUUUAUAAUUUUUUAACACUAAUUAAUGUGAAUCCUUUUUCCCGCCAUAGAAUAUGUGAGAAAUGGGCCACGUAUUUCCUUAAUUUCUAUAACUCUAAGAUAAAUAAUCAAUAAUAUAGGAAUUAGAUAGAUAGAUAGGAAUAUAUAUGUUAUUAGUGUUUGUAAUACAUCUUUAUCAAUGUAUAUAAUUUGAUUAUCUGAAUAUAUGUAUCAGGGCUAACUUAGUUUUAAUUGUACAAGUCAAUUUAGAUAGGAUUAACAUUAAACAGAAUGAACUAAACAAAAAAUUCUCAUUUAAAAUGGCGGCUUUUACCAUAACUGCCAUUUUAUAUCUUUCAAGAAGGUAUAAAUGACGACUUUUUAUCAUAACCGUCAUUUUAUAUCUUUAAGGAGGAUCUAAAACGGUGACUUUUUACCAUAACUGUUGUUUUAUAUCUUUUAAAAAGGUCUAAAACGACGACUUUUACCAUAAUUGCUGUUUUAGACUGAAUAUAACACAACGAUUAUAUAAUCUCUGUCUUUGCUUGAAAAGAAUAGACUAUAUGUUGAAAGACAACGCUACAAGAACCGUUGUUUUAAUACUAAAAUGAUCGUCGUGAUUUAAUUUUUUUCAUCAGUAAUUGUAAAGUUUCUUUUUAGAGUGUUGAUAAACAUAUAUCGAUUUGAAAUGAAUAGAGUUAGAAAGUAAAAAAAAAAUACAAGAAAAAUGUUAAAUAAUGUCAUAGAAAUAGAAAUGGAAGAGAAGUGUAAAGAAAUUUAAAUAAAAAUUAGAUGUGAGAGUAAGUUAGUUUAUAAAUUGAUUUGUUUAAUGAUUUAAUAACUGUAAAAAUCAAAUAAAAGUAAAUUAUAGUAAUAUGUACUAAGAUUUAAUGUAAUUACACCCAUGUUUCCUUUUUUUUUCUCUGUUAUACUUUAACUUAUAAUAAUCCUUUCCAUUAUUAUAAACUUUUUUAAAAUUACAUAUUUUUCAAAUUAUGCACUAAUAAUAUAAUAAUACACAUGCUGAAUAAUACGCAGUGUAAAUAUAUGAGCUCCUAUUUUAUUUAUGCUCCCAUUUGUGACAGAUGAAGAUUAUUAGCAGGAAAGAAGAGUGAGAGUGAGUAUAAGCAGGGUUUUACUGUCACAGUGAAGGUGGUUUUUGGAAUCUAGAGGAUCUUGUUGAGGAGGAUGUUGGCGAGAUUCGAAUCUUCAGAUGUGGUGUGACAGGAGAACUUGGAAGAAAAAGACCAAGAGAGCAGGUCGUGCGUUUCACUGGACACGUUAGAUGACCCUGAGGUGGAAGAGAACCCAACGCUCACAUUUAAUAAUAAUAUUAUGUGAUACCUCACAAUUAUUUAUCUUAUUAAUUGAUCAAUUACCAUAAUUAUCCUAUUAUAUUAUUGGUAAUUACUAUUAUCAUAAAUAAUUAGGGUUUCUUCUUGGGUGUAUUAUAAAUAGAGAUUACCAGACAACUAAAGAGACACUCUUAUAUUCUAACAUCACACGGUCGAAACUCAUUCCCUAAAGGGAUUUUCGAGCCUCUCAUCUCUUUGUCUCUCUGCUCACAUAAUUCCAUUUUAAGCGAUACACUCUAAAGGGAAACCCGAUCAAGAUCAUGUCUUCGUCCCUCAGCCAUGCGAUCACGGGUUUACCAAGUAUUAUCUAAUCAUUAUUCUCGUUUCAUUAUAUGAUUGAGGAAUCCUAAUCCAACAUGUGGUAUCAGAGUCAGGUUUAUGUUGUUUAAUCGAUUCUUCUUUUGUUUUCCCUAAAUUUGGAAGAAACGAGGAUUUUGAUUCAACCUAUUGAUUUUCGAUGUUUUUAUUUUGGUAUAUUAUUGAACCACUUAUUUUCGAAAAUCCACCUUGAUAUCAUAAAAUAAAUUUUAAUUUUUUCGAGAUCCAUAAUUAUUUUAAGAUUUUGAAAAUUAAAAUUUAAUAUUAAUGUUAUGUGUUCUUCAUAAUUUUCGUGAGUAUUCCCUUAUUUGGAAUGGAAUUAAUUUUGAUUAUAUGUUCAUCAUCAUUAUUUGUUGUUCGUAUGAAUUUUUGAAAAUUAUGAAUAAAGAAUUUUCAAAAAUUAAUUAUUCCCUUAAUUAGGAAAUUUUGAAAAUAAUAUUUUUCCUUAAUUCAAAUUUUCGAAAUACAAUUGAUUCCCUUAAUUAGGAAUGGAUUUGAUUUGAUUUGAUUGUGUUUUUCUAAAAAAAUAAAUAAAAAUUGAUAUCUUAGUCUCCACGUUUUUCCUUAUUUAGGAUAGUAUAUUCUUGCCUUAUUAAUUUUCGGGUAUUAUUAUUAUUAUUACUAUUUUCGAAAAUAGCAGUCGUGUCAAACUUGGAAACAUAUCAAUCUAAUUAAAAUUUUGAAGACCAAAUCUAAAAUCAAAUCCUUAAUAUUCCGCUACUCACUUAUCGAGUUUACGAGUAACAUAUUUACGCGUUUCCUUUUAUUUAUCGAAUUAAAUAUGGUAAAUCUCAUGAUACCGUAAUUAUGUUUUAAAAAAAAUACUUAUUUUGUUAAACUCUUAAAACAAAAAUAUUAAGUUUGACAAAAUUAAAAUUAAAUUUUUUGCUUAAACUUAAUAACAGGAGUCUCCCUUCUGUCCAACGAUGAUGGGUUAUGUCUUGUUAUUUUAGUCUAAUUAAGCACCUUCACUUACUUGUGAGUACACUUAAUUAUUAAAUAUUCGCAUGACAUUUGCCUAAAAACACAAUUAUUUCUUAUUUCUAUUCUGUCCAACGAUGUUUGAUGCACUUGUGUUUUGCAAACUUAAUAUGUGCAUAAGCUUAAAUGUUCAAUUCUGUCCAAAGAUGAUGUGUCACAUUCUUAUUGCACAUACCUUACUUAUAAUUGUUCAUUAUUCUUAAAUAAUUGGUAAUUAACCAAAGUGAAAGCUGAUUGUUUAAGUAGAACCUAAUCUAGUCUAUUAUUUUGAUGUUAUAAUAGAUUUUAUCACAGCUUCAUUAUCAUAAUGGUUCUUACUUAUGCCUGCUUUAGAUCUAAGUUUCCAAAUGUCACUCUAACUUUUUCCUUAGCCUAAGUAUCUUAAUUCGUCGUCUAACCAGCCCCUAAUAUGGAAAUUGAGACCUUGACUGGUGAAAAUCAUUCUUCUUGGAAAGAUUCCUUGAUGCUNNNNNNNNNNNNNNNNNNNNNNNNNNNNNNNNNNNNNNNNNNNNNNNNNNNNNNNNNNNNNNNNNNNNNNNNNNNNNNNNNNNNNNNNNNNNNNNNNNNNNNNNNNNNNNNNNNNNNNNNNNNNNNNNNNNNNNNNNNNNNNNNNNNNNNNNCAAUCAUUAGAGGAGGCAUUCCUGAUUCACCUAACGCUAAGGCUUAUCUAGCUUCUGUGGAGGAACAAUUUCAAGGAACCUCUAAGGCUCAUGCUAGUACUCUUAUCUUGAAGUUGGUGACUACAAAAUAUGACGGGCGCACCGGCAUUCGUGAACACAUCCUGAUGAUGAGCGACAUGGCCCGUAAACUUAAGGGAUUAGCCAUGGAGAUCAGUGAAGGUUUCCUAGUCCACUUCAUUAUGACUUCUCUUCCUUCUGCGUUUGAAGCCUUCAAAGUCAACUAUAAUACUCAGAAGGACAAAUGGUCCAUGAGUGAGUUGAUUGCUAUGACUGUUCAAGAAGAAGAGCGCCUGAAGUUGGAGAAACCAGAUGUUGCUUACCUCGUGGCUGCUGAGUCGAAGAAGCGGAAGGGCAAAUUCCAUAAAAAGGAAUCUAAUAAGGUCCCUAAAACUGAUGCAAGUGCACCCUCCAGCUCUAACAAAUUCACUAGCAAGUUCUACUGCAAGUUCUGCCGCAAGGUAGGACAUAAGCAGUCUGAGUGCUCAAGCUUUAAGGAGUGGUUGGCUAAGAAAGGUAAUCAUCUAAAUAUGAUAAUUGAGUCCUUUAAUUUAAAUGUUCCAACUAAUACUUGGUGGUUUGACUCUGGUUCUAUGGUUCAUGUGACCAAUUCAAUCCAGGGAUUCCUUACAAUCCAGAAGCUGGAAAGAAACCAAAGAACACUUAAGAUGGGGAAUGGACAAGAACUAUUUGUCGAAGCUGUCGGAAUCUUAGAAUUACUUAUGAAAACUGGAAAAUGUAUUAAACUUUAUGAUACCUUAUAUAUUCCCGAAAUUACUCAGAAUCUUGUAUUAGGACCAAAGUUAGACAUUGAUGGUUUUUAUGUUUCCCAUGGUCAUGGCAAACUUACUAUUUCUUUAAAUUCUCAAUUGUUUGGUACUGGUUUUCUGGAUAACGGUCUCUAUAAGUUAGAACUAGAUGAUAACUUCUCCAAAUCUUUGUUAUCAUAUAAUAUUAAUGAGAACUUAACAAAGACCAAGAGAAAACGAGACUUAGAAACUUCAUCCAUGUUGUGGCAUCAACGUUUAGGCCACAUUUCACGAGAUCGCUUAUCUCGACUUGUGAAGGAUGAAGUCUUACCAUCUCUCAAUUUCACUGAUUUUGGAACAUGUGUCAAAUGCCUCAAAGGCAAAAUGACAUCCACGACUAAGAAAGGCAAAAUGACAUCCACGACUAAGAAAAAAAAAUACAAGAAAAAUAUUAAAUAAUGUCAUAGAAAUAGAAAUGGAAGAGAAGUGUAAAGAAAUUUAAAUAAAAAUUAGAUGAGAGAGUAAGUUAGUUUAUAUUGAUUUCUUUAGUGAUUUAAUAACUGUAAAUAAGAAAGAGUAAAUUAUAGUAAUAUUUACUAAGAUUCAAUGAAGUUACACCAAUGUUUCCUUUUUUUAAUAUGUUAUACUUUAAUUUAUAAUAAUCCUGUCCAUUACUAUAAAAAUUUUAAAAAUUACAUAUUUUUCAAAUUAUGCACUAAUAACACGCAUAUAUGGUCAAACAGAAUAAACUAAAGCAAAAAAUUCUCAUUUAAAAUAGCGGCUUUUAUCAUAACGGUCGUUCUAUAUCUUUGAAGAUGGUAUAAAAUGAUGAGUUUUUAGCAUAACUGCCAUUUUAUAUCUUUCAGGAGGAUUUAAAACAACGAUUUUUUAGCAUAAUUGUCGUUUUAUAUCUUUAAAAAAUGCCUAAAAUGAAGACUUUUACCAUAAUCGUUAUUUUAGACUGAAUAUAACACGACGAUUAUAUAACCGUUGUCUUUACUUAAAGAGAAUGGACUUCAUGCUGAAAGACAGCGGUAUAAGAAUCGCUCAUUCAUGCUGAAAGACAGCGGUAUAAGAAUUGCUCAUUUAGUGCUGAAAUGACCGUUGUCAUUUAGCUUUUUUGCACCAAUAAUUAUAAAGUUUAUUUUUAGAGUGGUGGUGAUAAACAUAUAUCGAUGUGAGAAUAAGUUAGUUUAUAUUGAUUUGUAUAGUGAUUUAAUAACUGUAAAAGUCGAAUAAGAAAGAGUAAAUUAAAGUAAUAUUUUCUUAUGUUUAAUGUAAUUUAAACCAAUGUUUUUUUUUUCUAUGUUAUACUUUAACUUAUACUAAUCCUUUCCAUUAUUAUAAACUUUUUAAAAAUUACAUAUUUUUUAUUUUUCAAAUUAUGCACUAACAAUACGAAUAUGCAUGGUCAAUAAUACGCAGUGUAAAUUGUGUAAAUAUAUGAGCUCCCAUUUUAUUUAUUUAUUUUAGUUUGUGUGACAAAUGAACAUUAUUAGUAGCAAAGAAGAGUGAAGAGUGACUAUAAGUAGCGUUACCAUGAGACUAUGUUACUAUAUGAGACUAUGAGGUAAUAUGGCCUGAAAAAUGUUGAAGGAACUUGUCAAAGACUCAUAGACAAAGUCUUCAAGGGGAUUGGCCGGAACAUAAGGGAAAUGGUCGGAACGAUUUACGUGGACGACAAACUCAUGUGCCCAACACAUAAAGAUUUGAAAGAACUCUUUGAAGCUAUUAGGCUAUGAUGUUCAGACACUUCUCUUAAAUGAUGUGUCGGUGGUAGAUACUCAUAUCGGACACCGACAUUCGUAUGACACUUGUAGGACACGUAUUCGUGAAAUGUCCAAUUCAAAAAGUAUUUGUUGGAUUUUUGACAAUUUUAAUACAAUUCUAACAGAAUUUUAAAAAGGAAAAAUACAUUAAUUUUCUAAAAACUCAAACUUAUUGUAUAAAUUUUUAUUAUGAUUAUAAAAAUAAGAAACAAAUCAUUUUGAAGUAGUCAUGAAAAACAUUUUUUUCUCUUUUCUCCAAAAAACAAUCUGUAACAUACUUGUGUACAUAAAUCUUUAUUAUCAAUUUAUAUAAUUUAUAAUUAUAUAAUAUAUAGAUUCGUGUUUUCAUAUCCUACAUUUUAAAUAUUUAUUUUAAAUAUUUUCCGUAUCUUUACGUUUGUGUCCUUGUUUUAUCGGUGUCCGUGUUAUACAGCUCUUAAGUGAAUGAACAUGCGGCUAAAUCCUGAAAAGUUUGCGUUCAGGAAUAUAAGUUAUUGGGUUUAGGGUUUAAUCUCGAGAAAUGUAGGGCGAUAGAGAUAACAAGAUGAUCAAAAAUACAAAAAAAAGAAGAAGAGUAAAAUAGAGUAAACUCCAUUAUGUUAUUAUUUUGGAAAACUUUUCUUCAACAGUCCAAAGUUUGGAGUAAAAAACAAGCAUUUGACAGCUCCUUUUAAUAAUAUAAUAAUAUAUGAGCUCCCAUUUUAUUUUCUGUGACAGAGAAACAUUAUUAGCAGGAAAGAACACUGAGUGAAAGCAGUGUUUUAGUGUCACAGGGAAGGUGGAGUUUGGAGUCUAGAGGAUUUGGUUGAGGACCAAGUUGGCGAGAUUCAAAGCUUCAGAUGUGGUGCCAUCGGAGAGCUUGGAAGCAAAAGACCAAGAGAGGACGUCGUUCGUUUCAACGUUCCCUUUAGUAAUCCCAGUGGUGGCAGAGAACCCAACGCUCACCCACUCGGGAAGAACGCUCUUCAGGUCCACUGUGUCAGAGACGGUGAAGCUUGUUUUCAGAGAAGGGUAAACCAGAGAAGCCACCAAGAGCUUCGUGGAGGACUCAUAGGUGAUAUGAACCUCGGCGUUUUCUCCGUUGACAAAAUCCCACCGCGUCGUUUUGAUAGACUUGAUGGAGUUCACGUCGAUGCCAAUAUGACGCUCUCUGGGGUCCCAGUCCUUGUUGUAGAGGGUGUCGAACUCCACAGCCACAGUAUGGAAAUUGCUGUUGCUGCCGUCGAAAAGACCUAGAAAACCGCCUUUGUCUUUGGGCUGAGAGCCCACGGGGACGAGAGCAAAGGCAAGGCCAUCGGCGGGUCCUGCAUUGUUGGGAACCUGUAUAUUGAAUGUGAAGUUGGUGUCGAAGCUGGCGACGUUGCCGGUGGUGUAGUCCCAGAUUUGGAUGGGGGCGGAGUAGAAGGCGCGGCCCAGAGAGCCCACCGUGGGUUCUCCGUUGCUGUUAACAUUGGUUAGUCGUAACUGGCCGGAGGAUGAGACGGAG
This 12679-nucleotide long non-coding RNA is filed under the name Phaseolus vulgaris (common bean). Its description in RNAcentral is "long non-coding RNA (PVUL_LNC003696)". Lineage: Eukaryota; Viridiplantae; Streptophyta; Magnoliopsida; Fabales; Fabaceae. The record is from RNAcentral.